CGCUACCGGAGACAAAGGAAUGAUAAAUGGGCCGAUUCGAGAUCUGAUACGGAUGCCAGGUGAAGAGGAGGUGGAGAAACAAACAGCAAUGAUCAAUAGACUGGAAAGCUUACCGAACAAAAGUCCAGCAGGGGGCGCUCGCCUCUAACCCGGUAUUGGGUGACCUACGUUCCUGUGGUGGUGAACAUGACUGCGAGUUCUCCAGAAGAACAAAUGCUGGGAACUAAAUGAAGAGGAAUGAAUGAAAAGUGGUGUCCAAUCUGUGAUAUUAUUGGGGACCUGAUUAUGGUUCAGAACGAUCUAUAAAACAUAACUGACUACUAAAAUCAGAUUGUCAAA
Silurus meridionalis is the source of this 339-nucleotide long non-coding RNA. RefSeq lists it as uncharacterized. The record is from RefSeq and is a predicted model, not a curated record. NCBI's taxonomy places the organism in Eukaryota, Metazoa, Chordata, Actinopteri, Siluriformes, Siluridae. The transcript is spliced from 4 exons.